Long non-coding RNA from Peromyscus eremicus (cactus mouse), 512 nucleotides. RefSeq lists it as uncharacterized. Lineage: Eukaryota; Metazoa; Chordata; Mammalia; Rodentia; Cricetidae. The record is from RefSeq and is a predicted model, not a curated record. The transcript has 2 exons.
CAAUCACCUGGCCCCUCCAGGCAGUGUGAAGGCAAGGAGACAUCUGAGGAGGCCCAGACCUUCCAGGCCUUAGCAAAACAGUGAAGGUCUACAACCAACAUCAGCAUGUCCCCAAUUCUCCAAAUUCAAGUUGCAAAUACACAACGAAGAGAAACAAAUGACACAAGAAAGAGAAUCAGACAUACCUUCAGUGACUGUCUCUUUGUCACAUAAUUUUCUGAAUGAAGUAGCUUCUCAUAUUCACUGAAAAACUGAGACCAGAAAACAUACAUCAAGGUUAAGGAAAAGGAGGAGCGAUAACAUUAUAAAGUUCAGGGCCGACUCUGAACAUCAACAAAGGCCUGUGCUCUCUCACUGACAAUGGUGUCAAACCUUCCUUCCUCUGUGCCGCUCCUCUAUGCAGGGAGCUCCUGGGACUGGUCCCUCCAGGGUCUAGCAGGAUCCAGAGACUGCUCUGACAAAGUCCUCCUCUGCACCCUAAAUCAUCUGCAUAAAGCACUAACUCCUUCUCA